AGCGAACGCUGGCGGCAGGCCUAACACAUGCAAGUCGAACGGAUCCUUCGGGAUUAGUGGCGGACGGGUGAGUAACACGUGGGAGCGUGCCCUUUGGUUCGGAACAACUCAGGGAAACUUGAGCUAAUACCGGAUGUGCCCUUCGGGGGAAAGAUUUAUCGCCAUUGGAGCGGCCCGCGUCUGAUUAGCUAGUUGGUGAGGUAACGGCCCACCAAGGCGACGAUCAGUAGCUGGUCUGAGAGGAUGAUCAGCCACACUGGGACUGAGACACGGCCCAGACUCCUACGGGAGGCAGCAGUGGGGAAUCUUGCGCAAUGGGCGAAAGCCUGACGCAGCCAUGCCGCGUGAAUGAUGAAGGUCUUAGGAUUGUAAAAUUCUUUCAGCGGGGACGAUAAUGACGGUACCCGCAGAAGAAGCUCCGGCUAACUUCGUG
Molecule: ribosomal RNA, 433 nt
Filed under: uncultured bacterium
Lineage: Bacteria
Description: partial 16S ribosomal RNA
Rfam family: Bacterial small subunit ribosomal RNA
Source: RNAcentral